Molecule: regulatory RNA element, 168 nt
Organism: Neotoma lepida (desert woodrat)
Lineage: Eukaryota; Metazoa; Chordata; Mammalia; Rodentia; Cricetidae
Rfam family: Mason-Pfizer monkey virus packaging signal
About the family: The packaging signal is located in the 5' UTR and is required for specific RNA encapsidation.
Source: Rfam
NGGAGAGUUGAUUUGUGCCAACACAAGGUAAGUUUACCAUGGGACAAGCAUUUAGUAAGCAGGAUUUAUUUAUCUCAGGACUUAAACAGUCUCUCAAGACACGAGAAACAAGGGUAAAAAAGAAAGAUUUAAGAAAGUUUCUUGAUUAUAUUGGGGACCUUUGUCCCU